GUGUGUGGAGGCAGUGUUAUAGACACGGGGCUGUGUCUUUGCAGUGUCUGUGUGGAGGCAGUGUUAUAGACGCGGGGCUGUGUCUUUGCAUUGUCUGUGUGGAGGCAGUGUUAUAGACGCGGGGCUGUGUCUGUGCAGUGCGUAUGGGGAGGCAGUGUUAUAGACACUGGGCUGUGUGUGUGGAGGCAGUGUUAUAGACGCUGGGCUAAGUGUGUGGAGGUAGUGUUAUAGACACGGGGCUGUGUGUGGAGGCAGUGUUAUAGACGCGGGGCUGUGUCUGUGCAGUGUGCGUGUGGAGGCAGUGUUAUAGACACUGGGCUGUGUCUGUGCAGUGUGUGUGUGGAGGCAGUGUUAGAGACACGGGGCGUUGUUUGUGCAGUGAGUGUGGGGAGGCAGUGUUAUAGACACGGGGCUGUGUCUGUGCAGUGUGUGUGUGGAGGCAGUGUUAUAGACGUAGGGCUGUGUCUGCAGUGUGUGUGUGGAGGCAGUGUUAUAGGCACGGGGAUGUGUGUGUGGAGGCAGUGUUAUAGACACAGGGCGUUGUUUGUGCAGUGAGUGUGGGGAGGCAGUGUUAUAGACACGGGCUGUAUCGGUGCAGUGUGUGUGGGGAGGCAGUGUUAUCGACACGGGGCUGUGUCUGUGCAGUGUGUGUGGGGAGGCAGUGUUCUCGACGAGGGGCUGUGUGUGUGCAGUGUGUGUGUGGAGGCAGUGUUAUAGACACGGGGCUGUGUCUGUGCAGUGUGUGUGGGGCAGUAGUGUUAUAGACGCGGGGCUGUGUCUGUGCAGUGUGUGUGGGGAGGCAGUGUUACAGACACGGGGCUGUGUCUGUGCAGUGUGUGUGGGGAGGCAGUGUUUUAGACACGGGGCUGUGUCUGUGCAGUGUGUGUGGGGAGGUAGUGUUAUCGACACGGUGCUGUGUGUGUGCAGUGUGUGUGUGUGGAGGCAGUGUUAUAGACGAGGGCCUGUGUCUGUGCAGUCUGUGUGUGGGGAGGCAGUGUUAUAGACGUGAGGCUGUGUAUUUGCAGUGUGUGUGGAGGCAGUGUUAUAGACACGGGGCUGUGUCUGUGCAGUGUGUGUGUGGAGGCUGUGUUUUAGACACGGGGCUGUGUCUGUGCAGUGUGUGUGUGUGUGGAGGCAGUGUUAUUGACACGGGGCUGUGUCUGUGCAGUGUGUGUGUGGAGGCAGUGUUAUAGACACGGGGCUGUGUCUGUGCAGUGUGUGUGGGGUGGUAGUGUUGUAGACAUGGGGCUGUGUGUGUGCAGUGUGUGUGGGGAGUCUGUUAUAGACGAUGGGCUGUGUUUGUGCAGUGUGUGUGGGGAGGCAGUGUUAUCGACACGGGGCUGUGUAUGUGCAGUGUGUGUGGAGGCAGUGUUAUAGACACGGGCCUGUGUAUGUGCAGUGUUAUAGACACGGGGCUGUGUCUGUGCAGUGUGUGCGGGGAGGCAGUGUUAUUGACACGGGGCUGUGUGUGUGGAGGCAGUGUUAUAGACACGGGGCUGUGUCUGUGCAGUGUGUGUGUGGAGGCAGUGUUAUAGACAUGGGGCUGUGUCUGUGCAGUGUGUGUGUGGAGGUAGUGUUUUCGACCGGGGCUGUGUCUGUGCCUUUUUCGUGGGGAGGCAGUGUUACAGACACGGGGCUGUGUCUGUGCAGUGUGUGUGGGGAGGCAGUGUUUUAAACACGGGGCUGUGUCUGUGCAGUGUGUGUGGGGAGGCAGUGUUAUAGACACGGCGCUGUGUCUGUGCAGUGUGUGUGGAGGCAGUGUUAUCGACACGGGGCUGUGUAUGUGCAGUGUUAUAGACACGGGG
Molecule: non-coding RNA, 1805 nt
Organism: Chiloscyllium plagiosum (whitespotted bambooshark)
Lineage: Eukaryota; Metazoa; Chordata; Chondrichthyes; Orectolobiformes; Hemiscylliidae
Source: RefSeq, a predicted model, not a curated record